RNAcentral lists this long non-coding RNA (212 nucleotides) under Phaseolus vulgaris (common bean). RNAcentral's name for it is "long non-coding RNA (PVUL_LNC003989)". The record is from RNAcentral. Lineage: Eukaryota; Viridiplantae; Streptophyta; Magnoliopsida; Fabales; Fabaceae.
GGCACUUAGUGCUCACCAGAGUCAGCUACAUGGCGAGUUAUUCCCUGCAUGGGUAACUUGUCGCGUGGCGAGGUGAAUGUAGGUGGCCUCGGUUCUGGGCGUUUCGGUAAAGUUGAAUGUUGCUUUGAGGUAACUUGUUGGUUAUAUUUUUGGGUAUGUUUUUCUCACUUUAUGGUUGUUCUGCUCCAACCAUAAAGGAGAGUUUCUUUUGU